UACGUAGGGUGCGAGCGUUGUCCGGAAUUAUUGGGCGUAAAGAGCUCGUAGGCGGUCUGUCGCGUCUGCUGUGAAAACUCAGGGCUUAACUCUGAGCUUGCAGUGGGUACGGGCAGACUAGAGUGCGGUAGGGGAGACUGGAAUUCCUGGUGUAGCGGUGAAAUGCGCAGAUAUCAGGAGGAACACCGGUGGCGAAGGCGGGUCUCUGGGCCGUAACUGACGCUGAGGAGCGAAAGCAUGGGGAGCGAACAGG
Molecule: ribosomal RNA, 253 nt
Filed under: uncultured bacterium
Lineage: Bacteria
Description: partial 16S ribosomal RNA
Rfam family: Bacterial small subunit ribosomal RNA
Source: RNAcentral